RNAcentral lists this long non-coding RNA (1469 nucleotides) under Monodelphis domestica (gray short-tailed opossum). RNAcentral describes it as "lncRNA (ENSMODG00000042299.1)". Lineage: Eukaryota; Metazoa; Chordata; Mammalia; Didelphimorphia; Didelphidae. The record is from RNAcentral.
UGUGUUGAGUUUGAGUUGCCUGUUGGGCAUCCUGUUUGAAAUGUCCAGUAAGCAGUUGAUGUUGUAAGACUGCAACUGAGGAGGAGGCCUGGGCUGCAUCUAUGGAUGGGGAAACUUCAGCUUCUUGAGGAUAAAAACAUUCAUGUGAACUGAUGAGGUCACUGGGAGAGAGGGGAGUGAGUCCAAGACAGAACUUGGGCUGGAGACAUGCACAGGAAAAGGGCUUGGGAUGAAGAAGCAGCAGCUUAGGUGGGAGAGAGUGGUUCUGUAUUAAGUAGAGAUAUAACAGGAGGGAAGAUUUUAUUUUAAUAUUUCAUCUGUGGCCUGAAUAAUACUGCCCCAAAUUGGGUGAUCAAUAUCUCUAGAAAGAAGUGUGACUUUGGGAAGUGGUUUAUAAGGCUGACCUUGAGCAACAAAGUAAAAUUUUCUAUGGUGUAGAGAGUAGAAAAGGAGGAAAAUGGGAAAUAGAUCCUCAAGAAAUCCUUGAUAUGGGGGUGCUCCAAACCCUGGAGAAUCCCUCCUUGUAAGACCAACUUCCUAUCUCCUAACUUCCUGACCAUCAUCAUCUUUAAAAAAAAACCCUUACCUUCUGUCUUAGAAUCUAGACUGUGUAUCAGUUCCAAGGCAGAAAAGUAGUAAGGACUAGGCAAUUGGGAUUACAGUUAGGAAGGGUCUAAGGCCACAUUUGAACCCAGGACCUUCCAUCUCCAGACCUGGCUGUGUGGCUAUCACUCUCCUAUAUUUAAACUUCUUGAGGGAAGUAACUGUCUUUGUUUGGGGUUUUAUCCCCAGCACCUUGCAUAGUUUUUAGCACAUAAUAAACCUUUCAUUCAUUCAUGAGGGAUGGUCCCUGUGUGAGAAGGGAUGUCUUUUGCUAUUUCAGAAAUCCCUGACAUUCCAGGAUGUGACUGUGGACUUCUCCCAGGAGGAAUGGGGGCUGCUGGAGCCAGCUCAGAAGGACAUGUACAGGGACAGGAUGCAGGAGAACUAUGAGAACUUUGUCUCCCUGGGACUGUUCGUUUCCAAUGGAGAUGUCCUUUCACCAUUGGAGAAAAGAGAAGCACUAAGAUUGCCUGAGAGAGAAAUUCCAAGAAGUUCUUCCCCGGUGAAUGAAUUUUACUUUUUGAGGCAGUGUCAUACUGGAGAUGAUCACAAGCAUCACUCCAUUUCUAUCAAGUAUCCUUAUACACUUUUAUGUCAUCAUCAAAAGAUGAGUAAGUACCUUCUGUGAUUUCAUCUGGAAUAUUGCCAGAAUUAUUGAAUUGAACAAGACCACAGAGAAUCCAUAAGGCAUGAAACUAGAGAAAAAUAAUCCAGAUGGACAGAAUCCUUUAUUCCAGGAAGUUUUUUCAUGAAGUUUUUUAACUGGCCCUAAACUCAGUGCACAUUUCUUCAUCUUGUCAAGAAAGACAGUUUAAAAUAUUUUAUCAAAUGCAUUGUUUGAAAGCUAGAUAUCUGCUCUUUCCUCC